GAUGAACGCUGACAGCAUGCUUAACACAUGCAAGUCGUUGGCGAAGCUGCGCUUGCGCAGUCUAGCCAAGGCGGACGGGUGAGUAACGCGUAAGGAACUUGCCCUGCAGACAGGGAUAACAUACGGAAACGACUGAUAACACCUGGUAUUGUCAGGCUGUCGCAUGCCGGCCUGAUGAAAGGAGGCGCUGCAGGAGAGCCUUUCGUCCUGUUAGCUAGUUGGUGUGGUAACGGCCCACCCAGGCGGUGAGAGGUAGCCGGCCUGAGCGGGUGAACGGUCAAAAGGGGACUGAGAUACAGCACUUACGCCUCCGGGAGGAAGCACGAGGGACUAUUGGACCAUGGGCGCAAGCCUGAUGAAGCAAUUCGGUUCGCAAGAAGAAGGUUUUAGGAUUGUAAAGUGGUUUCAGUAGGGAAGAAGAAAGUGACGGUACCUGCAGAAGAAGCGACGGCUAACUACGUG
This 462-nucleotide ribosomal RNA is filed under the name uncultured bacterium. RNAcentral's name for it is "partial 16S ribosomal RNA". It matches the Rfam family "Bacterial small subunit ribosomal RNA", at positions 28 to 507 of the family's 1533-position model. The record is from RNAcentral.